UACGGGGGGGGCAAGCGUUGUUCGGAAUUACUGGGCGUAAAGGGCUCGUAGGUGGCCAACUAAGUCGGACGUGAAAUCCCUCGGCUUAACCGGGGAACUGCGUCCGAUACUGGAUGGCUUGAGUUUGGGAGAGGGAUGCGGAAUUCCAGGUGUAGCGGUGAAAUGCGUAGAUAUCUGGAGGAAGACCAGUGGCGAAGGCGGGUCUCUGGACAGUUCCUGACACUGAGGCACGAAGGCCAGGGGAGCAAACGGG
This 253-nucleotide ribosomal RNA is filed under the name uncultured bacterium. RNAcentral's name for it is "partial 16S ribosomal RNA". It matches the Rfam family "Bacterial small subunit ribosomal RNA", at positions 524 to 776 of the family's 1533-position model. The record is from RNAcentral.